GACGAACGCUGGCGGCGUGCUUAACACAUGCAAGUCGAACGCUGAAGCUCAGCUUUUGUUGGGUGGAUGAGUGGCGAACGGGUGAGUAACACGUGAGUAACCUGUCCCCUUCUUUGGGAUAACGCCCGGAAACGGGUGCUAAUACUGGAUAUUCACUGGUCUUCGCAUGGGGGUUGGUGGAAAGGGUUUUUCUGGUGGGGGAUGGGCUCGCGGCCUAUCAGCUUGUUGGUGGGGUGAUGGCCUACCAAGGCUUUGACGGGUAGCCGGCCUGAGAGGGUGACCGGUCACAUUGGGACUGAGAUACGGCCCAGACUCCUACGGGAGGCAGCAGUGGGGAAUAUUGCACAAUGGGCGCAAGCCUGAUGCAGCGACGCCGCGUGAGGGAUGGAGGCCUUCGGGUUGUGAACCUCUUUCGCUCAUGGUCAAGCCGCAACAAUGGUUGUGGUGAGGGUAGUGGGUAAAGAAGCGCCGGCUAACUACGUG
This 483-nucleotide ribosomal RNA is filed under the name uncultured bacterium. Its description in RNAcentral is "partial 16S ribosomal RNA". It matches the Rfam family "Bacterial small subunit ribosomal RNA", at positions 28 to 507 of the family's 1533-position model. The record is from RNAcentral.